Molecule: ribosomal RNA, 425 nt
Filed under: uncultured bacterium
Lineage: Bacteria
Description: partial 16S ribosomal RNA
Rfam family: Bacterial small subunit ribosomal RNA
Source: RNAcentral
GUGGGGAAUCUUGCGCAAUGGGCGAAAGCCUGACGCAGCCAUGCCGCGUGAAUGAUGAAGGUCUUAGGAUUGUAAAAUUCUUUCACCGGGGACGAUAAUGACGGUACCCGGAGAAGAAGCCCCGGCUAACUUCAUGCCAGCAGCCGCGGUAAUACGAAGGGGGCUAGCGUUGCUCGGAAUUACUGGGCGUAAAGGGCGCGUAUGCGGACAGGUUAGUCAGAGGUGAAAGCCCAGGGCUCAACCUUGGAAUUGCCUUUGAUACUGGCUGUCUUGAGUACGGGAGAGGUGAGUGGAACUCCGAGUGUAGAGGUGAAAUUCGUAGAUAUUCGGAAGAACACCAGCGGCGAAGGCGACUCACUGGCCCGUUACUGACGCUGAGGCGCGAAAGCGUGGGGAGCAAACAGGAUUAGAUACCCUAGUAGUCC